CCUGCACCACAGCUCACGGCAACACGGGAUCCCUCCCCACUGAGCAAGGCCAGGGAUGGAACCCACAUCCUCAUGGAUACUAGUCAGGAUCAGCAGACCCAGGCCAGCAAAGGCUAGCUGGAGCGGCCCCCAAAUUCUGACCAAGGCGCCAGCAGGAACAAAAGGUCUCCAUCCCGAAGCUCGUGCCAUGGCUGGACCAGAGCAGAUGUUCCACAUGUGGUUCUCUGAGUGAGUCCUCGUUCCACCACUUCUUAGCUGGGAGACCUUGAGUAAGAAUGUGGGCACCCUGGCUGGAGCUCCUGAAGCCAUCUUGUGACCUUGAGGAUAGAAGUCAUGGGCCAAGGAUGGGCCAAGCUGAGUGAGAAGUCACCUCCAUACCAGUCCUGAAUUGCCUGCUUUGAAACUUCUUCAUAAAAGAAAUGUGAGACUUCAUUUAAUUUAAGCCACUUUAGUUUUCUCUUUUAGACAGCUAAAUCAAAAUCCGAUACAACAACCACGCAGUUUCAUGCCUCUGAGUUUUUGCAUAGCUGUUCUCUCUUCUAGGAACUUUUCCUUCCAGUCCUCUACCUGGUGAACUUGUAAUCGUGUUUGAAGCUUCCACUGCAGCAUCCCACUCUGUGUGGAAUCCCUUCUAACUGACCCCUCAGGUAGGCAUAAUAUAUGUUUAAUAAAUAUUCAAAUAAUUAAGUAAUAAUUGUUGAAGGAAAACUUCUAAGAAUGAAUGAAAAAUGAAUCAUGUACAUAAAAAUGACAAGGAGGGAGUGCUCUUUGUGGCUUAGCAGUUAUUGAAACUGACAAGGGUCUAUGAGGAUGCAGGUUCGAUCCCUGGACUCGCUCAGUGGGUUAAGGACCUGGUGUUGCCGUGAGCUGUGGUGUAGGUCACAGAUGGGACUCAGAUCACACGUUGCAGUGGCUGUGGCAUAGGNGGGGGCCCAAAAAAAAAAAAAAAAAAAAAAAAAAAGACAAGGAGACAGUUAUUCUAGAGUGCUUCUCCUUCGCAGCUUCAACUCUUAGAGGGUUUUCUUUGGUCCCAAAGUCCCAAGGGAUGAGGUGGUAUCAAAACAGGCAGAUAUGGAGAUAUGGCAGGGAUUCGAGUCAACGCUGGGUGUGCUGUAUGACAGAAUUCCCAGUGAGGACAAAAAACAUAGCAAGAAAGAAAAAUGAAGUAAAAACAUAUUCAUGAGAGUUGAAGGAAACACCAACCAUUUUGUACACUUGCCACAAGCUUUUUUUUUCCUACAUUAGAAUUGAUUUCACCCCAAAAUAGCCUUCCUGCUGGGGUGAGCCGCCCAGAGUACCAAGUGAGUCUCUGCAAUGGCAAGGUUGGCAGAGAGGGCACAUGUAAAUUUCCACAUGAGACCUGGGUGAUGAGAAGUCCCUGAACUGCCAAAGCAGGUGAGGGGCGUUGUUGCUCCCCUGGAAAUACUUUGAAGCCAGCACUUGCAGGAAAGGAAUGUCCCCCUCAGCAAGCGAACAAGUAUUUAGCUAAGCAGGGACAAUGAGCUUCUGGAAAAAACAACAACAACAACAGAGCAUAUUAACAUGUUCUCUAUACUUCUCUACAUGGCCAUGAGCAAAGCAAGGAAGAGGGAGACGUGUUUUUUCUACCUAUCAUUUCAGCUCAACAAAUUUUUCUGAGGACCUAAUUAUACUGGGCAGAGAACUGGGUGCUGGGAGUUCCAGAAUGGCCACAAGGCACCCCUGUUCUCAAGCCCUGUUAUCAGGGCCCAGAAGGGGAGCUGAUAUCAUCAUUAUCAUCUUCACUAUUGCCAUCAGCAUCCUGUUCCCAGCCAGGACAUUUAUUCUUUGAGAAUUCACAGCCCAACGGAUGAGACUGAUCUAAAAGCAGAUGUUUGUGAGAUGAUGAGAUAAAUGCAUUUGAUGAAGUAGUAAAGAGGAGAAAGUACUUAUCUGAAGUUCAAGAAAGGUAUAACCAAGAGGGAAAUAGUGAACAAGGUUUUGAAGGAUAAAUAGGAGUUUGCCAGCCUUACACUAAGGUAAGACACUUGCAAGUUCUUUCGUUCCUAGAAAUCUUUAAAUGUGAUUCUGUAUAAUGGACCUCAAUGUUUGAACUAAUUCCUAGAAAGAUUCCUUCAAACAGCACUUUUCAAACAGGAAUAUGCUUAAGGGUCACUUAAGAUUUCCGAUUUUAAGUCUGGUCUAAGUCCUCAGAAUUUUCAGUCUGGCAGAGUAGAGCUGCCAUAGAAGGUCCUGAAUGCUCCUGAUGUCUGUAUUUCUCAUGCCAACAAAUAACAAAAGAGUUCUCAGGCAGUACAGGUCUGUGGACCAUGCUUAGAAGAAAAUUCAUGUAAAGUAUCUCAGAUGCUCCAAAAAUGGUCAAAAUUUUUACCAUUUCUUCCACCAGAGCUGCCUCAGGACCCUGGUUCUCACUCACACAUAGAAAUCCCUGUGGAACAUCAACCAUCCCUAUGCCCAGAACAUACCUUGAACAGUUACAUCAGAAUGUCUCAGGAGGGGGG
This 2480-nucleotide long non-coding RNA is filed under the name Sus scrofa (pig). RNAcentral describes it as "lncRNA (ENSSSCG00060064254.1)". Lineage: Eukaryota; Metazoa; Chordata; Mammalia; Artiodactyla; Suidae. The record is from RNAcentral.